GAAGAAAUAAAUUAAAGCUGCUAACUUUAAUAUGAGUAAUUAAAUAUUCUUUCUUCU
This 57-nucleotide transfer RNA is filed under the name Falcidens acutargatus. RNAcentral describes it as "tRNA-Ser". Lineage: Eukaryota; Metazoa; Mollusca; Caudofoveata; Chaetodermatida; Chaetodermatidae. The record is from RNAcentral.